This 83-nucleotide transfer RNA is filed under the name Ixodes scapularis (black-legged tick). It matches the Rfam family "tRNA". From Rfam's summary of the family: Transfer RNA (tRNA) molecules are approximately 80 nucleotides in length. The record is from Rfam by way of RNAcentral. Lineage: Eukaryota; Metazoa; Arthropoda; Arachnida; Ixodida; Ixodidae.
GCAGUCGUGGCCGAGCAGUUAAGGCGAUGGACUAGAAAUCCAUUGGGGUCUCCCCCGCACAUGUUCGAAUCCUGUCAACUGCG